Molecule: unclassified non-coding RNA, 639 nt
Filed under: Reichardia dichotoma
Lineage: Eukaryota; Viridiplantae; Streptophyta; Magnoliopsida; Asterales; Asteraceae
Description: sequence contains ITS1, 5.8S rRNA gene and ITS2
Rfam family: 5.8S ribosomal RNA (bases 260-415)
Source: RNAcentral
UCGAACCCUGCAACGCAGAACGACCCGUGAACAUGUACUUUCAACUUGGUGCCGGUGAGAGGAGCCUCAAGGUCCUGAUUACCAACACCUUAUGGUGUGUUUUCAUGGUGUUGCUAUCGUGGUACCAUGGAUGACCCAUCAGAUUUAACAAACCCCGGCACAGCAUGUGCCAAGGAAAACAAAAUAUGAGAAGGUAUCAACCUGAUUUGCCCCGAUUUACGGUGUGCAUGAUGGUUGUAUCCUCCUUGAAUUUAACAACGACUCUCGGCAACGGAUAUCUCGGCUCACGCAUCGAUGAAGAACGUAGCAAAAUGCGAUACUUGGUGUGAAUUGCAGAAUCCCGUGAACCAUCGAGUUUUUGAACGCAAGUUGCGCCCGAAGCCAUCCGGUUGAGGGCACGCCUGCCUGGGCGUCACGCAUCGCGUCGCCCCCCAUCAAACAUCCCUCACGGGUAAGUCUGGUGAUGGGGCGGAAAUUGGCCUCCCGUUCUUGCGUGCGGUUGGCCUAAAUAGGAGUCCCCUUCGGUGGAUGCACAACUAGUGGUGGUUGAAUAGACCCUCGUCUUCUGUUGUGUGUCAUGAGCUGUUAGGGAAGGCCUUAUAUAAGACCCCGCGGUAUCGUUAUUAACGAUAUAUCGAC